Molecule: microRNA precursor, 58 nt
Filed under: Tupaia belangeri chinensis (Chinese tree shrew)
Lineage: Eukaryota; Metazoa; Chordata; Mammalia; Scandentia; Tupaiidae
Description: Tupaia chinensis (Chinese tree shrew) microRNA tch-mir-450a precursor (tch-mir-450a-1)
Gene: tch-mir-450a-1
Source: miRBase by way of RNAcentral
UUUUGCGAUGUGUUCCUAAUAUGCAUUUAGAAAUAUAUUGGGAACAUUUUGCAUGCAU